This is a long non-coding RNA of Mauremys mutica (yellowpond turtle), 713 nucleotides long. RefSeq lists it as uncharacterized. NCBI's taxonomy places the organism in Eukaryota, Metazoa, Chordata, Testudines, Geoemydidae. The record is from RefSeq and is a predicted model, not a curated record. The transcript is spliced from 2 exons.
UUGGGGACAGAUGGGCUUUGGGGGUGGGGGCAGGACCUUGUAUAGCCAUGCUGGCAUCUGGGGCAGUGAAAGUGACCGGCAUUUCCCCGGGCUGGGGAAACCACCCUUCUGGUUCCCGUGAGGCCCCUGGCCAAAGGCGAGUGCACUGUUGCAUCGAGGCGAAGGUUGGGGGUGCACCCGCUGCCCUGCUGUGAUACUGUACCUCAAAAUAACCCCCUGUUGCCCCCCACUUUUCUAGGGGUGCUUUGUACAGAAUGCAUUGUCUGCCAACUCAUCAGCUGCUGAGCGUCCUCCUGUUCACAACUAAAAAGACAAAAGCGGGGCCGCCUUGGUAGCGAUUUUAAUAGUGAGUUGGGUUCAUUUUGGGUUUUACAAAACCAGACCCGAAGCCGAGGUGGUCGUGGAUUCAGGUUUCAUUGAAUUCGAACCCACUGUGGUUGCUGGAGGUUUGUUACUCACUGGGGAGAUGCUUUGGAUCUCAGCUAUGCAGGCGCCUGCUUUGUCCGUCCCGGGGGAGUGGGGGAGUCAUCGAGAAGGUUAUAAAGUAAGAGGCAAUGAAGGCUGAAAAAAGCCGCUGGCUUUGAAUCUUGCGGCGCGUGGCGAGGUUCAGGCCGAGUGCGGUUUGAUCACUUUCUUUCUGUAACCAAUUCUGACCUUUUGGAGGCCUCGAUCGCCUAGAAUCUCUCUCGCUAAUAAACGAGCUUUAUUUGAUC